UCAAUGGAGAUAGAAUUGCAAAUUAAAAAUAAUUAAAAAAAAAGAAGCAAAAUAGGAAAACACUAACAAUAGAAAAUAAUAAGACCUUUUUGAAAAAAUCUUGUAAGGAAGACUUUCUCUUAACUCACAAAGGGAAAACUGCGUUUCAUUAUAGGGAGGCUUACACAUUUGAAAAAACUUCAGAAAUAAACGAUAUCAUCUCACAUAAAAUAAUUUCAUUAAGGGGAGACUUACACACUAAAAAAAAAUUCUCACAACAAAUAGUUUAAUGAGAGGGAGAAUUACACACUUCAGAAAAAUUCACAAAGGGAAAAUUGUGACUCAUGAAGUAAUAAUUUCAUUCAGGGGAGACUUACACACUUAAAAAAACUUUACUGAGGGAAAAAUUUGUUUCACAAGUAACAAUUUCAUUAUAGGGAGACUUACACAUUUGAAAAAACUUCAGAAAUAAACGAUAUCAUCUCACAUGAAAUAAUUUCAUUAAGGGGAGACUUACACACUUAAAAAAACUUCUCACAACAAAUAAUUAAAUGAGGGGGAGAAUUACACACUUCAAAAAACUUCACAAAAGGAAAAUUGUGACACAUGAAGUAAUAAUUUCAUUCAGGGGAGACUUACACACUUAAAAAAACUUUACUGAGGGAAAAAUUUGUUUCACAAGUAACAAUUUCAUUAUAGGGAGACUUACACAUUUGAAAAAACUUCAGAAAUAAACGAUAUCAUCUCACAUGAAAUAAUUUCAUUAAGGGGAGACUUACACACUUAAAAAAACUUCUCACAACAAAUAAUUAAAUGAGGGAGAGAAUUACACACUUCAAAAAACUUCACAAAGUGUAUAUUUUGUUUCACAAGUAAAAAUUUAAUUAUAGGGAGACUUACACAUUCAAAAAAACAUUAGACAUUUGUGUUCUAACACUGUUAGAAAAUGGACAUGUUAGUAACAGGUUCAUUUUUUUUUUUCUAAUUGAUUCAAAAGUUUUUAAAUCAAAUAUUUUCAUUCGUUUCGUUCAUUGUUAAACUCACAAAAGAGCAAAACCUAUUUUAUAAAUAAGCUUAAAAAAUAACCUGGUGAAAGUUUUAACUUUUCCAUUUCUUUUUCUGCAUAAGAAGCAUUUAAAGACAUUUUUUACACAGAUUUUAGUUUUAAGCGUGAAAAUAAUUUUGCGCAAUUUUUAGGCGGGUCAAUCAUACGGGCUUAAAUUGUUUGCGUGUGUAAUUCUCCCCUACGUAAAAUUCAUAUUGGUGUGACACCUUUAUUAGGAAUUCCUAUUCAUCCAAUUAAUAGUUUUCCAAAUGACUAUAUGCAUUCUGUCUGUCUGGGGGUAGUACGAAAACUUCUAAAUUUUUGGUCUUCUGGACCAUUCAGUGUUAAGCUAUGUUCGCAAUCACUAAAAACAAUAUCAGCUCGAUUAAUUCAUGUUUCAUUGUUCUUUCCAUCAGAUUGUAACAGAAGACCUCGUUCAUUGGAGAGUAUGAAUAAGUGGAAGGCAACAGAAUUCCGAUCAUUUCUCCUUUAUUCAGGGCCUAUUGUUUUGUGUGAUAUUCUUAGUAAACCAGUUUAUGAACAUUUUCUUAUUUUACAUAGUUCCAUAUUUCUAUUAUGUAGGUCACAAGAGCAUGAAGUUAUUAAAUAUUGUGGUGAGUUGCUGAAAAUAUUUGUUACAAAGGCUGUUGCCUUGUAUGGCAAAUCAUUUAUGUCAUAUAAUGUGCAUUCUCUUAUACAUCUGCAUAAUGGUUGUUUACAAUUUGGACCGCUUGGCAAUUUUUGUGCUUUCCCCUUUGAAAAUGCUCUUGGUCAUUUAAAACGAAGAAUUCGAAGUGGAUAUUUGCCGCUUCAGCAAGUAGCUUCUAGUCUUUCUGAUAACAAAUCUGAACAUUCUAUGAAAGUUCACACUGAUGGAGUUUCCCUUCAACAUUGUAGUGGGCCUUUACCAAAUCAGGGCCAUUUUUUGCAAUAUAAAGUGUGCCAUUACAAAAAUCAAAGGUUUUCAAGCGGCUUGCGGGAUAGUUCAGUAAUGGUAGGACAAAAGUGCUAUCAAAUAGUUAACAUCUUAGCAGAAGACUUAAAAAAUCCAUUAUUCUUAGCCAGGUGUUUUACUGUGCAAACAAACUUUUAUGACGUUCCACUUGCAAGUUCGAAACUAUCUAUUUUUAAAGUUAAUUGUCUUAGUGACACUUUGCAUACUAUUCCGUUUUCUGAUAUUGUUAUAUCGCUGAAUAUGGGAGACAACAACGAUGUUGUUGUCUCCCAUAUUCUUCUUCCUUUGUUGUAAUCCCAUUAUCAGAGAUUUGAGUUCUUAUUAUAUUUUAGAGUUCUAUAUAUUUUUUCAAAUAAGAUAAUAAAUUUAUAUUAUACAGUAUUUGUAAUUUGUUCCAUGUCUAUUUAUGGUAUACAACAUGUAUUUCAUUUUGUUAUAUCUAUUUAUACAUUUCUUACAAUUGCUUUAAUUUAUUUGGGCAGCUUUUUAAAUAUAUAGUGUAAAAUUAUGAACUACAUUUACACAUUUUAUUAUUUCUUUGUUUUGAAGUUUAAAUUUGCAGAAUGUUAGUUCUUGAAGUAUCUUUGAACGUUGUUUAGCAGGAUGUAAUUGUAUUACUCUUAUAUGGUAAAUAAUAGGUAAAUAAUAAUAGGUCUUAUAUGGUAAUUAACUAUUUUUUUUUUCUUUAUUUAAAUUAAGCAAAUUUUUUUUUUUAAUAUUUUGUAUUUGAAAUUUUUUUAAUAACAGAUGUCUUAUUCAGUAGUUAUUUUUAAUAUUGUUAAUGAAGUGGCAACAGUGUCCAGUAAAUGGUUUAAAGAUUCAGGAUGCGUUUUGUGGCCCAACUGUAGAGUAGGGAAGAAAUUGCAAAACAUGUUACUAAACCAUGAAGAGCCAGGUGCUGACUGGAUUUCUUAUGAAGUACGAGUGUUGUCCAGUAACAUCUUAACUCUCAAAUCAGCAAGGGCAAAGGAGCGACUAGCUGAGGAAAAUUCUGAUCUUAGUUCAGCUGAAGAUGGUAGCGGAAUUAUAUAUGCCCCUAGCAGAUUUAACAGUCAAGAAUAUUGUCAACCGCUAUCCAAAAUCAGCAAAAUAACUUCAAAUAGCCAUACCACUUCCUAUUUAAACAACCCCUUGGUUCCUCAUGCACCAUCACUAGUUUCUAAUCCAUCUUUAAUUCAAACUUCAGCAUCGUUUUCUAGUAAGCUAAAUGUUUAAUUUUGUUAAACAAGAACAAGCUUGUUGACUGAUUAAUCAUUUAAUGAUCUUAAUAACCAUUUUUUGUAUCUGCAUAUAGCAUUUUUUAUAUCUGCAUAUAAGAAUGUGUUAGAUUUGUAUAACUUUUAUGUAGCUAGUCAAUACUGAAAAAAAAAUUUUUUUUAGAUGAUGAUCAUAGCAUAUUUAAUACGCAAAGAGUUUUUACGACCCUUAGCCAAAAAUAGAAAAUUUAAUUCUAACUGCCAAACCACUUCAUCUAAUAACUAUCCUUCAUUUCCAGAUAAAUCAGCACUAGUUCCUGAUUUUUUAAUUUCAAACUCUGUUCAAACUCCAACGCCAAUCUCUACUAAUGUUCCUUGUGCACAUCAUUGUACGCAUGUUGUUACGUGGUUUGAGAAAUUAUUUAAAGAAAUACAACAAAUGCGUGCAGAACAGACUGUGAUAAAUCAUCGUUUAGAUCAACAAUGUCAAAAUGAGCAUCAGCAUGUAGAUAGCAAUUUUUUGAAUUGUCUUCCACUUGAGAGUGAAGUUGAUUUUGAACGAUUCGGUAUAGAGAUAGAUAGUGACAAUGGAAAACGAACUUCUUUGAUACGUUAUUUGCGGAAGAGGUCAGACUCAAAUGUCAACAAGACCAUACUAAAUAUAUUGAGAAGUUUAUUAAAGGACAAUGUUCUUAGUUGUUAUUCUAGAGAUGGGAAACGCGGAAAAAAAAGUUUUUCUUCAGCAAAGGGAAACUUUGUUUCCAUAAUUCAAGAUGUUGUUUUGAAAGUUCAUAAAGGUGUGUCGUUGGUCCAAAUAAAUGUUGCGAUUUCGGAACAAUUAAAGAGACUCAAUCAAAGAAAUCGAAAUUCUAAGUCUACAACAGCUGAAGAAACUACACCUGAAAUUCCAGAGUUUGAUUAAAAACCAAUUAUAUAAAGUCUUUUUUAUUGUUGAGAAGACUUAUAAGUUUGAAAGAUCCUGCUUACACACUUUGAAAAAUACAGCAAAUGCUGGAAGCUAGAACAGGAAGUUAUAAAUCAGCAUCUUGAUGGUAAAAUGAAAAUCAACAACUAGUAGCACUUCUUUGAAUUGUCUUUACAUUAGAGUAAUGUUAAUUUUGAUUGGUAUGGAGAUAGAUGCAUGCAAUGGAAAACGAACUGCUGUUAUAUAUGUGUGUGUAUUUGACAUAUUUUUGCCACACAAAACAUAUUUUUUGUGGGGAAGUAAUAUAUGUUUGGAGAACAUUCUUGAGACACUGUAAAAGUAUUUUAAAUAGUAUUGCUUAUUUUUGUUGUUGGUACAUUCAGAUACUGUUUGGUAUGUUUUUUAGAAACUAUUUGUACGUUUAGAUAUUGUUUCUAAAGUUCUUAAAGACGUGUUAUUCGUUCAAGUAAACGAUGCUGUUAAAGCAGGUUGUCUGAGCAGUUAAAGAAACUUAAUCAAAUGACUCAAAAUUCUCUUCUUUAAGCAGCCGAAGCAACGAUACUCGAAAUGCCUGGAAUGGAUAAUUAACCAAGUAAUAAAUAAACUUUAAAAUAAA
Molecule: non-coding RNA, 4716 nt
Organism: Hydra vulgaris (swiftwater hydra)
Lineage: Eukaryota; Metazoa; Cnidaria; Hydrozoa; Anthoathecata; Hydridae
Source: RefSeq, a predicted model, not a curated record